ACCUGCUGUAGAAAGAUGAAUAAUUAAGCUGCAGACAGGAAACACAAGAUUUUAAUACUGAAUUGCUUCAGAGUCCUCUUUGGCUUCCUUUUUUGUUAUGUCUGUCUGCAGUGGCUUGACCAAAUGACGGAUCUUGGCAUUCCCUACCAGUUUGUGUGUCCAGAGAUGCACUUGGAGGUGCUGAAUGUGAGCUUCAAGCCAGCUCUGCUCAUUAUUACAGAUCUCAAGAUAUUACAGAGGGAGGAGCCAACUCUGCAUCUUCAAGUGUAAAAGGAAAACCUUAAUAAGGACUGCUGAACCUGACUAGCUGCCUCAUAGGAAAUUGCAAGGUAAACUCUAUUUAUUUUUCUGUCACUGCCGUUAAAAUAAGUCCAGCACAAGGAAACACUUACCAAGUUAUCCAAAAUAAUGAAUAAUGUAUUUUUCAUGUUACUGUCUUCAUGAAAAAUCCCUGUGAUUUUAGUCUUAACAACGUGUGCAGGUGUACUUGACAAACUCAUUCUGACAACUAGAGGCACAUCUGCAUGCUGUCUUUUAAUAAUGGUAUAAAUAAUUUCCCAAACUGUAAACUACUCCCAGAUAAUACAUUUCUGUACAAUCUCAUAAAUACACAAGUAUCACACAUGUUAGCAGACAGAAGCAGGAGUGACUGUUCUACCAGUGAGGCUUUGGCUUAGUUCCACAACCUGCAAAGCUCCUUGUGAGGCUCACGUGAACAUUUGAUAUUUCAGGAUUGCAUCCUGAAAACAUCUCAAAUUUAGAAAUCUUUCCAUUUCUAUAUAACUGAUCUUUUCUUGGAAAUACAUUACUGUGAGGCUUGAACUCAUGAUGAAAAUUACCAAGGUGUAAAGCUCUUGUUCAUAGUCUGCCACAGACACUCCCAGCCUGCUGCUCUCUCUGUGCAUUGUUAGUACCAGUACUGAGCCCAAGCUGCUGUGGGGUGGGGUGGGAGGGAGCUUACCCACGGAUAUGAAAUGCAGCUGUGCUGCAGGCUCUGUGCAAGGGAAAGGAACUUUGGGCUUUUAUGACUGAUUGUAGUUUCCUUUGAAGCUGUGUGGAUGUGCCAUCCCAAGGGGUUUUCUGAUGGACAGGAGUUUUGUUGAGGGGGUAAAAACUUGUAAAAGAAUUAACAAACACAGUACCAGAGGUGAAUUAAGGCUCUUUGUCCCAUGAAUUUCACAGCUUUGUAACCCUGAUUUAGAGGAAUUCACUUCUGCUUUGAUGUCUGAUAAAAGUAUAUUCUUCUAAGGUAGUCUGCUGCUGGGAAAACAAAAUGCAUCAAAGUCUGGACUAUACUUUGAAAAACUGAGCAAUUCAGUGUUCUUGUCUGAUGCUUAAAAUACUUACAAAGUUCCUGACUGAACCUUGGAAAACCCAACAGAAAGAUUGCUGGGUGGUUUUGAUUUCUUGUAAUAAAUUUAGGUGGACUUUUAUUCUGAAGUCCUUUUGUCUGAACACUCUCCCUUCACAUGACACCCACAGCAGUAUGAACGUCCUGGCUGCCCUCUGCAGCUGACUGUGCUAAGCAAGAGACCAAGGUCUGUAGAAACCAGCCCAGUCCACUCUUUGGUUUGAAGCAGCUUCCAGAUGUGAUGCAAGCAGCAGCUCUGUGUGGGGUUAU
Taeniopygia guttata (zebra finch) is the source of this 1621-nucleotide non-coding RNA. The record is from RefSeq and is a predicted model, not a curated record. Lineage: Eukaryota; Metazoa; Chordata; Aves; Passeriformes; Estrildidae.